Molecule: ribosomal RNA, 450 nt
Filed under: uncultured bacterium
Lineage: Bacteria
Description: bacterial SSU rRNA
Rfam family: Bacterial small subunit ribosomal RNA
Source: RNAcentral
UAGGGAAUAUUGCACAAUGGGGGAAACCCUGAUGCAGCGACGCCGCGUGAGUGAUGAAGGCCUUCGGGUCGUAAAGCUCUGUUGAACGGGAAGAAACAAAUGACGGUACCGUUUAAGAAAGGAUCGGCUAACUUCGUGCCAGCAGCCGCGGUAAUACGAGGGAUCCUAGCGUUGUUCGGAAUCAUUGGGCGUAAAGAGUAUGUAGGCGGCCUAGUAAGUCAGUUGUGAAAGCCCCGGGCUCAACCCGGGAAGUGCAAUUGAUACUGCUUGGCUUGAAUGUGGAAGAGGGCAGUAGAAUUCCAGGUGUAGUGGUGAAAUACGUAGAUAUCUGGAGGAAUACCGGUGGCGAAGGCGGCUGCCUGGUCCUACAUUGACGCUGAGAUACGAAAGCGUGGGGAGCAAACAGGAUUAGAUACCCUGGUAGUCCCUGAGCGGGCUGGCAAGGCGCAU